RNAcentral lists this ribosomal RNA (598 nucleotides) under uncultured bacterium. RNAcentral's name for it is "bacterial SSU rRNA". It matches the Rfam family "Bacterial small subunit ribosomal RNA", at positions 202 to 801 of the family's 1533-position model. The record is from RNAcentral.
UAAAGAAUUUCGGUUAUCGAUGGGGAUGCGUUCCAUUAGUUAGUUGGCGGGGUAACGGCCCACCAAGACGACGAUGGAUAGGGGUUCUGAGAGGAAGGUCCCCCACAUUGGAACUGAGACACGGUCCAAACUCCUACGGGAGGCAGCAGUGAGGAAUAUUGGUCAAUGGACGAGAGUCUGAACCAGCCAAGUAGCGUGAAGGAUGACUGCCCUAUGGGUUGUAAACUUCUUUUAUAUGGGAAUAAAACAGGGUAUGCAUACCCUCUUGUAUGUACCAUAUGAAUAAGGAUCGGCUAACUCCGUGCCAGCAGCCGCGGUAAUACGGAGGAUCCGAGCGUUAUCCGGAUUUAUUGGGUUUAAAGGGAGCGUAGGUGGAUUGUUAAGUCAGUUGUGAAAGUUUGCGGCUCAACCGUAAAAUUGCAGUUGAAACUGGCAGUCUUGAGUACAGUAGAGGUGGGCGGAAUUCGUGGUGUAGCGGUGAAAUGCUUAGAUAUCACGAAGAACUCCGAUUGCGAAGGCAGCUCACUGGACUGCAACUGACACUGAUGCUCGAAAGUGUGGGUAUCAAACAGGAUUAGAUACCCUGGUAGUCCACACA